Small nuclear RNA from Nomascus leucogenys (northern white-cheeked gibbon), 107 nucleotides. The record is from Ensembl. Lineage: Eukaryota; Metazoa; Chordata; Mammalia; Primates; Hylobatidae.
GUGCUCACUGCAGCAGCCCAUAUACUAAAAUUGGGACAAUACAGAGGAGAUUGCCAUGGCCCCCAUGCAAGGAUGACAUGCAAAUUCAUGAAGCAUUCCAUAUCCAA